GAUGAACGCUGGCGGCGUGCCUAAUACAUGCAAGUCGAGCGAACGGACGAGAAGCUUGCUUUUCUGAUGUUAGCGGCGGACGGGUGAGUAACACGUGGAUAACCUACCUAUAAGACUGGGAUAACUUCGGGAAACCGGAGCUAAUACCGGAUAAUAUUUUGAACCGCAUGGUUCAAAAGUGAAAGACGGUCUUGCUGUCACUUAUAGAUGGAUCCGCGCUGCAUUAGCUAGUUGGUAAGGUAACGGCUUACCAAGGCAACGAUGCAUAGCCGACCUGAGAGGGGGAUCGGCCAGACUGGAACUGAGACACGGGCCAGACUCCUACGGGAGGCAGCAGUAGGGAAUCUUCCGGAAUGGGGGAAAGCCUGACGGAGCAAAGCCGGGUGAGGGAUGAAGGGCUUCUGAUCGGAAAACUCUGUUAUUAGGGAAGAACAUAUGUGUAAGUAACUGUGCACAUCUUGACGGUACCUAAUCAGAAAGCCACGGCUAACUACGUG
RNAcentral lists this ribosomal RNA (497 nucleotides) under uncultured bacterium. RNAcentral describes it as "partial 16S ribosomal RNA". It matches the Rfam family "Bacterial small subunit ribosomal RNA", at positions 28 to 507 of the family's 1533-position model. The record is from RNAcentral.